Molecule: ribosomal RNA, 492 nt
Filed under: uncultured bacterium
Lineage: Bacteria
Description: partial 16S ribosomal RNA
Rfam family: Bacterial small subunit ribosomal RNA
Source: RNAcentral
AGUGAACGCUGGCGGUAGGCCUAACACAUGCAACUCGAACGGCAGCACAGUAAGAGCUUGCUCUUACGGGUGGCGAGUGGCGGACGGGUGAGGAAUACAUCGGAAUCUACUUUUUCGUGGGGGAUAACGUAGGGAAACUUACGCUAAUACCGCAUACGACCUACGGGUGAAAGCAGGGGAUCUUCGGACCUUGCGCGAUUGAAUGAGCCGAUGUCGGAUUAGCUAGUUGGCGGGGUAAAGGCCCACCAAGGCGACGAUCCGUAGCUGGUCUGAGAGGAUGAUCAGCCACACUGGAACUGAGACACGGUCCAGACUCCUACGGGAGGCAGCAGUGGGGAAUAUUGGACAAAGGGCGCAAGCCUGAUCCAGCCAUACCGCGUGGGUGAAGAAGGCCUUCGGGUUGUAAAGCCCUUUUGUUGGGAAAGAAAAGCAGCAGGUUAAUACCCCGCUGUUCUGACGGUACCCAAAGAAUAAGCACCGGCUAACUUCGUG